CCUGGCUCAGGAUGAACGCUAGCGACAGGCUUAACACAUGCAAGUCGAGGGGCAUCAUGAGGUAGCAAUACCUUGAUGGCGACCGGCGCACGGGUGAGUAACGCGUAUGCAACCUGCCUGAUACCGGGGUAUAGCCCAUGGAAACGUGGAUUAACACCCCAUAGUACUUUUAUCCUGCAUGGGAUGUGAGUUAAAUGUUCGAGGUAUCGGAUGGGCAUGCGUCCUAUUAGUUAGUUGGCGGGGCAACAGCCCACCAGGACGAUGAUAGGUAGGGGUUCUGAGAGGAAGGUCCCCCACAUUGGAACUGAGACACGGCCCAAACUCCUACGGGAGGCAGCAGUGAGGAAUAUUGUUCAAUGGACGUAAGUCUGAACCAGCCAAGUCGCGUGAGAGAAGACUGCCCUAUGGGUUGUAAACCUCUUUUAUAAGGCAAGAAUAAGUUCUACGUGUAGAAUGAUGCCUGUACCUUAUGACUAAGCAUCGGCUAACUCCGUGCCAGCACCCGCGAUAAUACGGAGGAUGCAAGCGUUAUCCGGAUUUAUUGGGUUUAAAGGUCGCGUAGGCGGUUUAUUAAGUUAGUGGUAAAAUAUUUGAGCUAAACUCAAUUGGUGGCAUAAUACUGGUAAACUGGAGUACAGACGAGGUAGGCGGAAUAAGUUAAGUAGCGGUGAAAUGCAUAGAUAUAACUUAGAACUCCGAUAGCGAAGGCAGCUUACCAGACUGUAACUGACGCUGAUGCACGAGAGCGUGGGUAGCGAACAGGAUUAGAUACCCUGGUAGUCCACGCCGUAAACGAUGCUCACUGGUUCUGUGCGAUAAUUGUACGGGAUUAAGCGAAAGUAUUAAGUGAGCCACCUGGGGAGUACGUCGGCAACGAUGAAACUCAAAGGAAUUGACGGGGGCCCGCACAAGCGGAGGAACAUGUGGUUUAAUUCGAUGAUACGCGAGGAACCUUACCUGGGUUUAAAUGGGAAAUGUCGUAUUUGGAAACAGAUAUUCUCUUCGGAGCGUUUUUCAAGGUGCUGCAUGGUUGUCGUCAGCUCGUGCCGUGAGGUGUCGGGUUAAGUCCCAUAACGAGCGCAACCCUUACCGUUAGUUGCUAGCAUGUAAUGAUGAGCACUCUAACGGGACUGCCACCGUAAGGUGAGAGGAAGGCGGGGAUGACGUCAAAUCAGCACGGCCCUUACACCCAGGGCUACACACGUGUUACAAUGGCCGGUACAGAGGGCCGCUACCAGGUGACUGGAUGCCAAUCUCAAAAGCCGGUCGUAGUUCGGAUUGGAGUCUGUAACCCGACUCCAUGAAGUUGGAUUCGCUAGUAAUCGCGCAUCAGCCAUGGCGCGGUGAAUACGUUCCCGGGCCUUGUACACACCGCCC
Molecule: ribosomal RNA, 1377 nt
Filed under: uncultured bacterium
Lineage: Bacteria
Description: bacterial SSU rRNA
Rfam family: Bacterial small subunit ribosomal RNA
Source: RNAcentral